Frankliniella occidentalis (western flower thrips) is the source of this 1663-nucleotide RNA transcript. It is a transcript of the gene named R3H and coiled-coil domain-containing protein 1-like, with no coding region annotated. The record is from RefSeq and is a predicted model, not a curated record. The transcript has 2 exons. Lineage: Eukaryota; Metazoa; Arthropoda; Insecta; Thysanoptera; Thripidae.
GUGCUGUUUACCUGUGUGUUUGUGUAAUGUGUGUACGCAUUUUAGUGCGAGCUUAACGUCCAAAAGGAUGCCAAACCAUACCGCUGAAAAAUCGCCCCAAAACCAUCCAAACGAAGCCAGGCAUAGGAUUACUUUGUGGUGGAACGCCGCCGCGCCCCCGAGGCUCAUAUGGGCAGGCGUGUCUCUCCCUCCCGAGGACGCGCGCACGCCGCACGCGCGAGCCCGUCGUGCACGGCGAGUUCCACACGAUGGUUCCGCAGCUGCAGCUGCAGCCGCCGCGGCACAAACGGAACGGGACCAGCCGCCCUGCCCGCCCCGCCCCGCCCGGCCGUUGCAUCACGGCUCACGGCCCUCGCGCCCGGGGGUUUACGAGGAACACUCGUCGAAUACAUUGUCCAGCUGGCUCGCUCGAGUGUUCCACCAACCAGCGUACCGCGCCGCUGAGCAUUCGGGUGCGGACCGAGACUGAGGCAAUCCGAACCACUAGCGCGUGCGAUUUUAAAUCGCAAGUAGGUUGCCGCCAAGAUGGCCGCCCUACUUUCGUUUGUUAUUUCGUAACCGUGACGUCAUGGGUCACUGAUGCAAAAAAACAAGAGUAAGAAAAACACAAUAGCUCGGUAGUGUGUCAUGGCGUUCAGCUACCCCGAAAGCGACGCAGAUUUUGUUGACAAAGUUAAAACCGACUUGGGCCUCUUUGUCAAAUCCUCGCCAUUUGACAGGCAAGUAGUUACGGGUGAAUUGAGACUCGCGUUGCCUCGCGGGCUUGGCUGCAAGGUCGUAGGCUGCUCAGUGUUAUGGUUUGUUUGGAGGUUGGGUUCGCCUUGCGUCACUCGGUCGCUGUGUUGACUUGCUUUCGUGGUGAACGGCGACUGUUGUUUCUGCUCGGUAUGAUAUCAUCCCGAAUUGAAACGAGUGGUUAUUCCCUGGUCUGGUCUCCUCAGAGCGGUCCAGUGGACCAAAGCUGGCAUGACAAGCCCAGUGAGUGGAAUGGAACCAGACCAGCGGAAACGGCCCUGCGCAGUCAAGUUCACGAGUGAAACGUUUUGGUGUUUCCACCUGUGAACAGUUUUUAUAGAUUUCUCAUACAUCAGCUGGCUCAGGACAAUUUUGAUCAGCUGAGGACAUUUUCAAUUGGUGAGGAUCCUGACAGAAGGAUAGUGGUGUGUACUAAGGAUCUAGUGGCCAGGUGAGACACAAUACCAAAACUCCUAUCCUUUCUUCAUAUGUGUAAUUCUGGUGGUGGGAUGAAAUUAGGCUGUACCAUAUGCUGUAUGGUAGAAUGCAAAAAAAUAAAAAUCACAUAUGUGAAGGUCACAACUAAAGCAAGAACAAUAGAGAUUGCAACACAUCGCUUAGCUAUCAAGUCCUGUGUUCCAUGCUUUGCUCACGUGUAGUGUAAUUGUUUUUGUAAUCUAACUGGCUCUAUUUUUGUUAUACUGUAUUAGGGUAUCAAUUAUUCCUGUUGUCCUUGAAUUUUGCAUUUUCUGUAUUUAGUUAGUUAUUUCAUGCCAAAAUUUUCUGUUAAAAACUGACAUUACAUUUUUGUAAACUUGCUUACUACCAUGGUCUGGUGCAUAUAUUUUUUUGUCACAAUGUACCAUUUUGCUGUAAAUAUUGCUUCUAUAAAUCUUGUAUUUACUAGAUCUUACUCUUUAAAAAAAGA